RNAcentral lists this transfer RNA (70 nucleotides) under Meimuna opalifera. RNAcentral describes it as "tRNA-Asn". Lineage: Eukaryota; Metazoa; Arthropoda; Insecta; Hemiptera; Cicadidae. The record is from RNAcentral.
UUAAUUGAAGCCAAAUUAUAUAGGCAUCUUAUUGUUAAUAAGAUUAUUGAAUUAUUUAAUUCCAAUUAAA